CAGUCGCCGCGGGAAUACGUAGGUGGCAAGCGUUGUCCGGAAUUAUUGGGCGUAAAGGGCUCGCAGGCGGUUUCUUAAGUCUGAUGUGAAAGCCCCCGGCUCAACCGGGGAGGGUCAUUGGAAACUGGGAAACUUGAGUGCAGAAGAGGAGAGUGGAAUUCCACGUGUAGCGGUGAAAUGCGUAGAAAUGUGGAGGAACACCAGUGGCGAAGGCGACUCUCUGGUCUGUAACUGACGCUGAGGAGCGAAAGCGUGGGGAGCGAACAGGAUUAGAUACCUCUGUAGUCCCUGUCUCUUAUAC
RNAcentral lists this ribosomal RNA (301 nucleotides) under uncultured bacterium. Its description in RNAcentral is "partial 16S ribosomal RNA". It matches the Rfam family "Bacterial small subunit ribosomal RNA", at positions 509 to 807 of the family's 1533-position model. The record is from RNAcentral.